Molecule: ribosomal RNA, 1281 nt
Filed under: Omoedus orbiculatus
Lineage: Eukaryota; Metazoa; Arthropoda; Arachnida; Araneae; Salticidae
Description: SSU rRNA
Rfam family: Eukaryotic small subunit ribosomal RNA
Source: RNAcentral
GUACAUGCCGUAUUAAGGCGAAACCGCGAAUGGCUCAUUAAAUCAGUUAUGGUUCCUUGGAUCGUACCUUACUACUUGGAUAACUGUGGUAAUUCUAGAGCUAAUACAUGCAGCAGAGCUCCGACCUUCGGGGACGAGCGCUUUUAUUAGACCAAAACCAAUCGGACUCUGUCCGUCUAAUGUGGUGACUCUGAAUAACUUUGGGCUGAUCGCACGGGCCCGUCCCGGCGACGUAUCUUUCAAGUGUCUGCCUUAUCAACUUUCGAUGGUAGGUUACGCGCCUACCAUGGUCGUAACGGGUAACGGGGAAUCAGGGUUCGAUUCCGGAGAGGGAGCCUGAGAAACGGCUACCACAUCCAAGGAAGGCAGCAGGCGCGCAAAUUACCCACUCCCGGAACGGGGAGGUAGUGACGAAAAAUAACAAUACGGGACUCUUUUGAGACCCCGUAAUUGGAAUGAGUACACUCUAAAUCCUUUAACGAGGAUCCAUUGGAGGGCAAGUCUGGUGCCAGCCGCCGCGGUAACUCCAGCUCCAAUAGCGUAUAUUAAAGUUGUUGCGGUUAAAAAGCUCGUAGUUGGAUCUCAGUUCCAGACGGGUGGUCCGCCUACCGGUGGUUACUGCCUGUUCUGAACAGCCAGCCGGUUUCUCUUGAUGAUCUUCACCGGUUGUCUUGGGUGACCGGCAAGUUUACUUUGAAAAAAUUAGAGUGCUCAAAGCAGGCGUGACGCCUGAAUAAUGGUGCAUGGAAUAAUGGAAUAGGACCUCGGUUCUAUUUUGUUGGUUUUCGGAACACGAGGUAAUGAUUAAGAGGGACAGACGGGGGCAUUCGUAUUGCGACGCUAGAGGUGAAAUUCUUGGACCGUCGCAGGACGAACUACUGCGAAAGCAUUUGCCAAGAAUGUUUCCAUUAAUCAAGAACGAAAGUUAGAGGUUCGAAGGCGAUCAGAUACCGCCCUAGUUCUAACCAUAAACUAUGCCAGCCAGCGAUCCGGCUGUGUUCCUCAAAUGACACGCCGGGCAGCUUCCGGGAAACCAAAGCUUUUGGGUUCCGGGGGAAGUAUGGUUGCAAAGCUGAAACUUAAAGGAAUUGACGGAAGGGCACCACCAGGUUUGGAGCCUGCGGCUUAAUUUGACUCAACACGCGACAACUCACUCGGCCCGGACACAGGAAGGAUUGACAGAUUAAGAGCUCUUUCUUGAUUCUGUGGGUGGUGGUGCAUGGCCGUUCUUAGUUGGUGGAUUGAUUUGUYUGGUUUAUUCCGAUAACGAACGAGACUCUA